AUUGAACGCUGGCGGCAGGCUUAACACAUGCAAGUCGAGCGGAGAUGAGGUGCUUGCACCUUAUCUUAGCGGCGGACGGGUGAGUAAUGCUUAGGAAUCUGCCUAUUAGUGGGGGACAACAUUCCGAAAGGAAUGCGAAUACCGCAUACGUCCUACGGGAGAAAGCAGGGGAUCUUCGGACCUCGCGCUAAUAGAUGAGCCUAAGUCGGAUUAGCUAGUUGGUGGGGUAAAGGCCUACCAAGGCGACGAUCUGUAGCGGGUCUGAGAGGAUGAUCCGCCACACUGGGACUGAGACACGGCCCAGACUCCUACGGGAGGCAGCAGUGGGGAAUAUUGGACAAUGGGGGGAACCCUGAUCCAGCCAUGCCGCGUGUGUGAAGAAGGCCUUAUGGUUGUAAAGCACUUUAAGCGAGGAGGAGGCUACUGAGACUAAUACUCUUGGAUAGUGGACGUUACUCGCAGAAUAAGCACCGGCUAACUCUGUGCCAGCAGCCGCCGUAA
This 501-nucleotide ribosomal RNA is filed under the name uncultured bacterium. RNAcentral describes it as "partial 16S ribosomal RNA". It matches the Rfam family "Bacterial small subunit ribosomal RNA", at positions 30 to 523 of the family's 1533-position model. The record is from RNAcentral.